Molecule: ribosomal RNA, 254 nt
Filed under: uncultured bacterium
Lineage: Bacteria
Description: partial 16S ribosomal RNA
Rfam family: Bacterial small subunit ribosomal RNA
Source: RNAcentral
UACGUAAGGUGCGAGCGUUGUCCGGAAUUAUUGGGCGUAAAGAGCUCGUAGGCGGUGUGUCGCGUCGGUCGUGAAAACUUGGGGCUUAACCCUGAGCUUGCGGUCGAUACGGGCAUCACUGGAGUUCGGCAGGGGAGACUGGAAUUCCUGGUGUAGCGGUGAAAUGCGCAGAUAUCAGGAGGAACACCGGUGGCGAAGGCGGGUCUCUGGGCCGAUACUGACGCUGAGGAGCGAAAGCGUGGGGAGCGAACAGG